RNAcentral lists this long non-coding RNA (526 nucleotides) under Chinchilla lanigera (long-tailed chinchilla). RNAcentral describes it as "lncRNA (ENSCLAG00000025546.1)". Lineage: Eukaryota; Metazoa; Chordata; Mammalia; Rodentia; Chinchillidae. The record is from RNAcentral.
AUGACCCAGCACGCUGUACGGUGCAUUUUCCUUUCCACUUACCAUGGUGCUUUUAGCACCAUUAUGGCUUCUUUCCAACAGUCAUUACGCUUUCUGGGCUUUUUCUAAGAGGACAGGGAUUUGUAUUUAUUCAUCUUAUUUACCCCACAGCUUCUAGAACACUGCCUUGCACACAGUGGACAAUGACGAGCUGCUGAAUAAGUGUGCGAACCGAGGAGAAAUGCAUGUGUUGCUUACAAUGUUUCCUCUGAAUGCUGCCAACAAUGAGAAACAAGUAAUAGUUUCUAUCAGUGCUUUUCAGCCCAAAUCUUGCGGACCCCACAUAUGUUCAAAAGGAAGAAGCGACUGGGGAAUGAAUUCUCACUUGGCCUAAAGUCAACAGGGAUGGAAUAAAUUUCCUUUCCUUUGUUAACCAUUAAAUGAUCCACUAGAAUUUGGGCAUGAAAGGCUGUUUACUACUUUCUCCAGUAAGAAUUUUAGGACAUCUUGAUGUCCUACUUAAAGUGAUAUGCUCUCUAAUUUCAAC